CGGGGCGUAGCGCAGCUCGGUAGCGCGCCUGCUUUGGGAGCAGGAUGUCGGAGGUUCAAAUCCUCUCGCCCCGACCA
RNAcentral lists this transfer RNA (77 nucleotides) under Nitrospira sp. RNAcentral's name for it is "tRNA-Pro". It matches the Rfam family "tRNA". Rfam says of the family: Transfer RNA (tRNA) molecules are approximately 80 nucleotides in length. Their secondary structure includes four short double-helical elements and three loops (D, anti-codon, and T loops). The record is from RNAcentral. RNAcentral also lists the same sequence under 9 other names. Lineage: Bacteria; Pseudomonadati; Nitrospirota; Nitrospiria; Nitrospirales; Nitrospiraceae.